GUGAACCUGCGGAGGGAUCAU
This 21-nucleotide ribosomal RNA is filed under the name Pseudocercospora sp. CCF60. RNAcentral's name for it is "partial 18S ribosomal RNA". The record is from RNAcentral. Lineage: Eukaryota; Fungi; Ascomycota; Dothideomycetes; Mycosphaerellales; Mycosphaerellaceae.